This is a long non-coding RNA of Lonchura striata (white-rumped munia), 2124 nucleotides long. The record is from Ensembl. NCBI's taxonomy places the organism in Eukaryota, Metazoa, Chordata, Aves, Passeriformes, Estrildidae.
CCUUGGUGGCAUCUGGGGACAUCUGGGAGCACCUGGAGACACCUUGGGGACAUGAGGGUGGCAUCUGGGGACACCCGGGUGGCAUCUGGGGACACCUGGGUGGUAUCUGGGGACACCUUGGUGGCAUAUGAGGACACCUGGGAAAACUUAGGGACACCUGGGUGGCAUCUAGGGACAUCUGGGAGCACCUGGCUGGCACUUGGGGACAUCUGGGUGGCACUUGGGGACACCUUGGUGGCACCUGGGGGCACCUGGUGGCAUCUGGGUGGUGUCUAUGGACACCUUAGUGGCAUCUAGGGACAUCUGUGUGGCGCUUGGGGACAUCUGGGAAAACUUAGGGACACCUGGAGGCACCUGGGUGGCACUUGGGGACACCUGGGUGUCAUCUGGGGACACUUGGGGAUGCCUGAGGACACUUUGGUGGCAGCUGGGCCUACCUUGGUGGCACCUUGGGACACCUGGAGGCAUCUGGGGACGCCUUGGUGGAAUCUGGGAACAUCUAGGAGCACCUGGAGACACCUUGGGGACACCUGGGUGGUGUCUAGGGACAUCUGGAGGCACCUGGGUGGCACUUGGGGACACCUUGGUGGUGCUUAGGGACAUCUGGGGACACCUUGGGGACAUCUCAGGACACUUGUGUAGCACCUUGGGACCCCUGGUGGCAUCUGGAGGCACUUGGGGACACCUGGGUGGUGUCUAGGGACAUCUGCAGCACCUCGGUAGCACUUGGGGACACCUAGCUGGCAUCUGGAGACACCUGGGUGGCACUUGGGGACACCCAGGGGUACCUUGGUGGCACUUGGGGAUGCCUGGGGACAUCUGGGUAGCGCCUGGGCACACCUUGGUGGCAUCUGGGGACAUCUGGAGGUACCUGGGUGGCACUUGGGGACACCUGGGAAAACUUAGGGGCAUCUGGGUGGUGUCUAGGGACACCUGGGGACACCUUGGUGGCACCUGGGGGCACCCAGGUGGCAUCUGGGGACAUCUGGGAGCACCGGGAGACACCUUGGGGACAUCUGGGUGGUGUCUAGGGACACCUUGGUGGCAUCUGGGGACACCUGGGGAACACCUUGGUGGCAUCUGGGGACACCUGGGUGGCAUCCGGGUGGCACUUGGGGACACCUGGGUGGCAUCUGGGGACACCUUGGUGGCAUCUGGAGGUGCCUUGGUAGCAUCUGGGGACACCUGGGUGGCAUCAGGGUGGCACUUGGGGACACCUGGGUGGCAUCUGGGUAGCACCUGGGGGCACCUGGAGACAUCUGGAGGCACCUGGUGGCACCUUGGUGGAACUUGGGGGUACCUUGGUAGCAUCUGGGGACACCUGGCGGCAUCUGGGUGGUAUCUAGGGACACCUGGAUGGCAUCUGGAGGCACUUGGGGACACCUGGGUGGCAUCUGGGGACACCUGGCGACAUCUGGGUGGUAUCUGGGGACACCUGGAUGGCAUCUGGAGGCACUUGGGGACACCUGGAUGGCACUUGGGGGUACCUUGGUGGUGUCUAGGGACACCUUGGUGGCAUCUGGAGGCACUUGGGGACACCUGGGUGGCACUUGGGGGUACCUUGGUAGCAUCUGGGGACACCUGGCGGCAUCUGGGUGUUGUCUAGGGACACGUGGGGACACCUGGCUGGCAUCUUAGGGUACCUUGGUGGCAUCUGGGGACAUCUGGGAGCACCUGGAGACACCUUGGGGACAUGAGGGUGGCAUCUGGGGACACCUGGGUGGCAUCUGGGGACACCUGGGUGGUAUCUAGGGACACCUUGGUGGCAUCUGGGGACACCUGGAGGCAUCUGGGUGGUAUCUGGGGACACCUUGGUGGCGUAUGAGGACACCUGGGAAAACUUAGGGACACCCAGGUGGCAUCUGGGGACAUCUGGGAGCACCGGGAGACACCUUGGGGACAUCUGGGUGGUGUCUAGGGACACCUUGGUGGCAUCUAGGGACAUCUGGGGACACCUGGGUGGCAUCUGGGGACACCUGGGUGGCUUCACAUCCAUCCCCAAUGGAUUAAGAAGGAACCUGGGCAGCUCCGUGGGUGGCAUCGUCACCUCCUUGUCACCUCAUCGUUGUCCCCUCCUGUCCCCAGGGAGUUCCUGCGGGAGGCGCUGGCCCCGGCCACCUCGGA